GUUUGACCUCAAAUCAGGUAGGACUACCCGCUGAACUUAA
RNAcentral lists this ribosomal RNA (40 nucleotides) under Ogataea pini. Its description in RNAcentral is "partial 26S rRNA". The record is from RNAcentral. Lineage: Eukaryota; Fungi; Ascomycota; Pichiomycetes; Pichiales; Pichiaceae. RNAcentral also lists the same sequence under 17 other names.